GGCCAAAGAGAGUAAUAGCCUCGUAUUCGAAAUAGUCUUUAUACCUAGCAGUAUCCUGAGUACGGCGAGACACGAGAAAUCUCGUCGGAAUCUGGGAGGACCAUCUCCCAACCCUAAAUACUCUCUAGUGACCGAUAGUGAACCAGUACCGUGAGGGAAAGGUGAAAAGCACCCCGGGAGGGGAGUGAAAUAGAACCUGAAACCGUGUGCCUACAACAAGUUCGAGCCCGUUAAUGGGUGAGAGCGUGCCUUUUGUAGAAUGAACCGGCGAGUUACGAUAUGAUGCGAGGUUAAGUUGAAGAGACGGAGCCGUAGGGAAACCGAGUCUUAAUAGGGCGCAUUAGUAUCAUGUCGUAGACCCGAAACCAUGUGACCUACCCAUGAGCAGGUUGAAGGUGAGGUAAAACUCACUGGAGGACCGAACCAGGGCACGUUGAAAAGUGCUUGGAUGACUUGUGGGUAGCGGAGAAAUUCCAAACGAACUUGGAGAUAGCUGGUUCUCUCCGAAAUAGCUUUAGGGCUAGCGUCGAUGUUAAGUCUCUUGGAGGUAGAGCACUGUUUGGGUGAGGGGUCCAUCCCGGAUUACCAAUCUCAGAUAAACUCCGAAUGCCAAUGAGAUAUAAUCGGCAGUCAGACUGCGAGUGCUAAGAUCCGUAGUCGAAAGGGAAACAGCCCAGACCACCAGCUAAGGUCCCAAAAUAUAUGUUAAGUGGAAAAGGAUGUGGGGUUGCACAGACAACUAGGAUGUUAGCUUAGAAGCAGCUAUUCAUUCAAAGAGUGCGUAAUAGCUCACUAGUCGAGUGACCCUGCGCCGAAAAUGUACCGGGGCUAAAACAUAUUACCGAAGCUGUGGAUACCUUUAUAGGUAUGGUAGGAGAGCGUUCUAUGUGCGAAGAAGGUGUACCGUGAGGAGUGCUGGAGCGCAUAGAAGUGAGAAUGCCGGUAUGAGUAGCGAAAGACAGGUGAGAAUCCUGUCCACCGUAAGACUAAGGUUUCCAGGGGAAGGCUCGUCCGCCCUGGGUUAGUCGGGACCUAAGGAGAGACCGAAAGGUGUAUCCGAUGGACAACAGGUUGAUAUUCCUGUACUAGAGUAUAUAGUGAUGGAGGGACGCAGUAGGCUAACUAAACCAGACGAUUGGAAGUGUCUGGCCAAGCAGUGAGGUGUGAUAUGAGUCAAAUGCUUAUAUCUUUAACAUUGAGCUGUGAUGGGGAGCGAAGUUUAGUAGCGAAGUUAGUGAUGUCACACUGCCGAGAAAAGCUUCUAGCGUUAAUUAUACUCUACCCGUACCGCAAACCGACACAGGUAGUCGAGGCGAGUAGCCUCAGGUGAGCGAGAGAACUCUCGUUAAGGAACUCGGCAAAAUGGCCCCGUAACUUCGGGAGAAGGGGCGCUGACUGAUGGUCAGCCGCAGUGAAUAGGCCCAAGCAACUGUUUAUCAAAAACACAGCUCUCUGCUAAAUCGUAAGAUGAUGUAUAGGGGGUGACGCCUGCCCGGUGCUGGAAGGUUAAGAGGAGUGCUUAGCGUAAGCGAAGGCAUGAAUUGAAGCCCCAGUAAACGGCGGCCGUAACUAUAACGGUCCUAAGGUAGCGAAAUUCCUUGUCGGGUAAGUUCCGACCCGCACGAAAGGCGUAAUGAUUUGGGCACUGUCUCAACGAGAGACUCGGUGAAAUUUUAGUACCUGUGAAGAUGCAGGUUACCCGCGACAGGACGGAAAGACCCCAUGGAGCUUUACUGCAGUUUGAUAUUGAGUAUCUGUACCACAUGUACAGGAUAGGUAGGAGCCUAUGACCUCGGGACGCCAGUUUCGAGUGAGGCGUUGUUGGGAUACUACCCUUGUGUUAUGGCUACUCUAACCCAGAUAGGUUAUCCCUAUCGGAG
Molecule: ribosomal RNA, 1880 nt
Filed under: Faecalibacterium prausnitzii
Lineage: Bacteria; Bacillati; Bacillota; Clostridia; Eubacteriales; Oscillospiraceae
Description: partial 23S ribosomal RNA
Rfam family: Bacterial large subunit ribosomal RNA
Source: RNAcentral